This 492-nucleotide ribosomal RNA is filed under the name uncultured bacterium. Its description in RNAcentral is "partial 16S ribosomal RNA". It matches the Rfam family "Bacterial small subunit ribosomal RNA", at positions 29 to 507 of the family's 1533-position model. The record is from RNAcentral.
AGUGAACGCUGGCGGUAGGCCUAACACAUGCAAGUCGAACGGCAGCACAGUAAGAGCUUGCUCUUACGGGUGGCGAGUGGCGGACGGGUGAGGAAUACAUCGGAAGCUACUUUUUCGUGGGGGAUAACGGAGGGAAACUUACGCUAAUACCGCAUACGGCCUACGGGUGAAAGCAGGGGAUCUUCGGACCUUGCGCGAUUGAAUGAGCCGAUGUCGGAUUAGCUAGUUGGCGGGGUAAAGGCCCACCAAGGCGACGAUCCGUAGCUGGUCUGAGAGGAUGAUCAGCCACACUGGAACUGAGACACGGUCCAGACUCCUACGGGAGGCAGCAGUGGGGAAUAUUGGACAAUGGGCGCAAGCCUGAUCCAGCCAUACCGCGUGGGUGAAGAAGGCCUUCGGGUUGUAAAGCCCUUUUGUUGGGAACGAAAAGCAGCAGGUUAAUACCCCGCUGUUCUGACGGUACCCAAAGAAUAAGCACCGGCUAACUUCGUG